Molecule: unclassified non-coding RNA, 281 nt
Filed under: uncultured fungus
Lineage: Eukaryota; Fungi
Description: partial contains 18S rRNA, ITS1, 5.8S rRNA, ITS2 and 28S rRNA
Source: RNAcentral
AAGGAUCAUUAUUGAAUAAACUUGAUGGAUUGUUGCUGGCUCUUCAAGAGCAAGUGCACGUCUGUCAUUUUUAUCUUUCCACCAUGUGCACCGUGCAUAGAUCUGAAUAUCUUUUAAUCAACCUUGAUUCUGGGAAUUGCUGUUGCAUUAAUGGCUUUUCCUGUAUUCAGAUUCUAUGAAUUUUUAAAUCUACUCCAAUGUAUGUUUAUGAACGCUAUUGAAGGCUUUUUACAGCCUAUAAAUAUAUUAUACAACUUUCAGCAACGGAUCUCUUGGCUCUC